AACUUCAUGGUGCAAUAGUAGCAUGUCUGACUUCAGAUCAGAAGGAUGUGUGUUCAAAUCACACUGGGGUCA
Molecule: transfer RNA, 72 nt
Filed under: Alligator mississippiensis (American alligator)
Lineage: Eukaryota; Metazoa; Chordata; Crocodylia; Alligatoridae
Also listed under: 1 other name
Rfam family: tRNA
About the family: Transfer RNA (tRNA) molecules are approximately 80 nucleotides in length. Their secondary structure includes four short double-helical elements and three loops (D, anti-codon, and T loops).
Source: Rfam by way of RNAcentral